GUCGAGGAUCUUUAGCAAUGGGCGAAAGCCUGACUAUGCGACGCCGCGUGAGGGAUGAAGGUUUUCGGAUCGUAAACCUCUUUCGAUGGGGAAGAAUGUCCAGGCUUAACCGUCUGGAUUGACGGUACCUAGAGAAGAAGCCACGGCCAACUCCGUGCCAGCAGCCGCGGUAAUACGGGGGUGGCGAGCGUUACUCGGAUUUAUUGGGUGUAAAGGGCAGGUAGGCGUCCUGUCAAGUUUCAGGUGAAAUCCUGCGGCUCAACCGCAGAACUGCCUGAAAAACUGUCAGGAUUGAGGCCGGAAGAGGAGAGCGGAAUUCCCGGUGUAAGGGUGAAAUCUGUAGAUAUCGGGAGGAACACCAGUGGCGAAAGCGGCUCUCUGGUCCGGCUCUGACGCUGAACUGCGAAAGCUCGGGGAGCAAACAGGAUUAGAAACCCGGGUAGUCC
This 446-nucleotide ribosomal RNA is filed under the name uncultured bacterium. RNAcentral's name for it is "partial 16S ribosomal RNA". It matches the Rfam family "Bacterial small subunit ribosomal RNA", at positions 354 to 796 of the family's 1533-position model. The record is from RNAcentral.